Molecule: ribosomal RNA, 496 nt
Filed under: uncultured bacterium
Lineage: Bacteria
Description: partial 16S ribosomal RNA
Rfam family: Bacterial small subunit ribosomal RNA
Source: RNAcentral
AUGAACGCUGGCGGCGUGCCUAAUACAUGCAAGUCGCGCGAACAGACGAGGAGCUUGCUCCUCUGACGUUAGCGGCGGACGGGUGAGUAACACGUGGAUAACCUACCUAUAAGACUGGGAUAACUUCGGGAAACCGGAGCUAAUACCGGAUAAUAUAUUGAACCGCAUGGUUCAAUAGUGAAAGACGGUUUUGCUGUCACUUAUAGAUGGAUCCGCGCCGCAUUAGCUAGUUGGUAAGGUAACGGCUUACCAAGGCAACGAUGCGUAGCCGACCUGAGAGGGUGAUCGGCCACACUGGAACUGAGACACGGUCCAGACUCCUACGGGAGGCAGCAGUAGGGGAUCUUCCGCAAUGGGCGAAAGCUUGACGGAGCAACGCCGCGUGAGUGAUGAAGGUCUUCGGAUCGUAAAACUCUGUUAUUAGGGAAGAACAAAUGUGUAAGUAACUAUGCACGUCUUGACGGUACCUAAUCAGAAAGCCACGGCUAACUACGUG